Molecule: unclassified non-coding RNA, 925 nt
Filed under: Rhagoletis pomonella (apple maggot)
Lineage: Eukaryota; Metazoa; Arthropoda; Insecta; Diptera; Tephritidae
Description: uncharacterized LOC118755499, transcript variant X1
Source: RNAcentral
CAUUUUUUAAACUGGUAUUCCAAUCAAAAAUCAUCUAACACAAUGUUCGACGGAUUGAGUAAAAAUCCCCAAUGACGCAAGCUUAACGUAAGCAUUUGGUCUCGAAUACAACAGAUGGCGCCAUUGCUAAUUCAUGAAUGGCAAUAUCCUGAAUGGCUGAAAUGUCAUUCAAGAAAUAACCUAUCACGAGGAGAAACGGUUUCAGACGCUUGCCUGCAUCGAUUUGCAACCCUUUGCCUUGAGCACACAGCACGGAUUAAUGCCCGGUAAAUGGAUAAAGAGAAGAUGCCCGAAGUGUAAGUGGUUCUGUAUAUUCUGCGGUUUCCGUGGUUUCAACAUGAAUUUUGGUUGUGCACUUCGGGCGGUAGGUGGCAAACGAAUUCAACAAAUAACAGCGGGUCUGUUGCUGGAAGCAAUUUGCAGAACGAUUCCAAGGUGAUCGUAGCAUCAACGUCCAACCCUAAUUCUUCAGCAACCGCAGCAGUCACUGGUGCAACCGUUGUGACUUCACCAUCUAGCACUCCCACCCAAGCCACCUACUAUCUUAUAUACCACAAUGGAUUUCAACUAAGUAUUCCACCGAAUACAGUGCCACCACCAUUUACACCUGCGCAUUUUACCAGUACGACCAACUCUGGCACAUCCCCUUCGUCGGGACAAGUUACGCAGUCUGCAAUUGGCGGAGCUUAUAGUUUGCUUGCGAACACAUCAAUAACUGCUGUGUUGUUCUUGUACCUACAGCGGCAGGAAAUGCUUAAACAGCAACAACAACGAAGAAGGCGGCAACGAAUAAGUGAUGGGGUGAGUGCGUUUGAGGUAUCUGAAUAAAAUUAAGGACAGGAUUGCAGUGGAGCGCUGAAGAGAGCGACGAGCAAAACGUACUUUCAACUAAAAUGCUAAUAUACAUACCUAAGCACACAUGCAU